This 402-nucleotide ribosomal RNA is filed under the name uncultured bacterium. RNAcentral's name for it is "bacterial SSU rRNA". It matches the Rfam family "Bacterial small subunit ribosomal RNA", at positions 355 to 774 of the family's 1533-position model. The record is from RNAcentral.
UGGGGAAUCUUGCACAAUGGGGGAAACCCUGAUGCAGCGACGCCGCGUGAGCGAUGAAGCCCUUCGGGGUGUAAAGCUCUUUCGGCAGGGAAGAUGAUGACGGUACCUGCAAAGGCAGCUGCGGCUAACUACGUGCCAGCAGCCGCGGUAAUACGUAGGCAGCAAGCGUUGUUCGGAGUUACUGGGCGUAAAGGGUGUGUAGGCGGUUCUUUAAGUUUGGUGUGAAAUCUCCCGGCUCAACUGGGAGGGUGCGCCGAAUACUGAGGGACUCGAGUGCGGGAGAGGAAAGUGGAAUUCCUGGUGUAGCGGUGAAAUGCGUAGAUAUCAGGAGGAACACCGGUGGUGUAAACGGCUUUCUGGACCGUAACUGACGCUGAGACACGAAAGCGUGGGUAGCAAACA